Non-coding RNA from Phascolarctos cinereus (koala), 619 nucleotides. The record is from RefSeq and is a predicted model, not a curated record. NCBI's taxonomy places the organism in Eukaryota, Metazoa, Chordata, Mammalia, Diprotodontia, Phascolarctidae.
AAAGACAUCCUAAGGGUGUUGUGUUGACUUGUACAUGAAUUAGAUUUAAGUGAGGUGGAGCUACAUAGUCAUCAGCCUCACUUUCUCUUCCAGAGUCAUUGAAGUCCACUGGCAAGACAGAAGUCAGGAAGACUGGCGGUGGCUGAGGAUGCAGUGGGUGCCUUGGCCCUUCUAAAUUACGGUCUUUCCCAGGUUUCAGUUUGUCCAAGGCAAGGCCUAUUCAAUGAUUAAGGGCUAGGAUUCUGUUUGGUGUAUUUUUUAGAUCUGUUUAGAAGAGUGCAUGGAGGGGAGCCCACCACAAUACUUUCUAUCACUCCACCAUCUUGACUCUGCCUCUUCUGGUGUCUUCUAGCCUGUGUUUGGACAUGAACUCUUUCCUUAUCCAAAGAUCUGAAAGGUCUGUGAGUCCCACCCAAAUGCUUAGUAUAAAGAGAGGCUCUCCAGAAUACCUGUAGUGCUUCAUCCAGACCAGCUCAGCUGAUCCUCUCAAGAGAAACCAUCCAUGUCCUCCACAGAUGCUCCUUUCUCCUUCAUCUCCUGUGUGCAGGACAGACACUGAAAAGAAGAGAAGGAGCCCAGAUGGCACUCACCCAGAUUGCCAGGUUAGGAUGUGGUGUGG